Molecule: non-coding RNA, 2028 nt
Organism: Macaca mulatta (Rhesus monkey)
Lineage: Eukaryota; Metazoa; Chordata; Mammalia; Primates; Cercopithecidae
Source: RefSeq, a predicted model, not a curated record
AAGAAACCAGCACAUUUUUUUAGAAAUUAAAUAGCCUGGGAGUUGAGUAGAUUGAGGGAGUGUAAGGAGUGGUAUUUUUUUUCUACUUAAUGCAACUCCUGACAUAUAACACCAAGGAAAUAUACCUGGAAAUCUAAAUAGCUCAAAAUCAGCUUCCAGAUGUUUAGCAAAGCAGAAAGCCUAAACUCCACAACACAAGCAGUUGCAAAGCCUCCUAAAGUGACACAGUUCACCUGAAGAUGAGAAGUGCUCAGAAUCCAGAGUCCUCACCCUGUCUUCUCAUCUUCAAUACUCAAAACCAUUAUUGCUUCAAAGACGUAAGUAAGCAUUACUCACAUAAACUUUACCAUAUCUCAAUUUUAAUAUUUGUAUUAUUUGUAACUCACAUAGUUCUAUCAAACCAUAAGACAUUAGUAUAUAAUCACUCUACGGUUGACAGUGAAAAUCAAUCACAUUUGAUAAUCUGGGUAACAAUAAAUAAUUCUGUGUAGAGUAAAAUGUAAUGCGUUUAGAAUCAGAUUUUUCUUUGAAUUUCCCUCUGGUAGAAACUGAAAAGCGUUUACUUAAAAUUCUUCAUGCUCCGUUUCUACCUCGGGAAAAUUGGUAUAAUAAAAGUUACCUAAGUUUUCUUUUUUUAAAAACAUUUAUGGAAAAAAAAUCUGUAUAAAGUUUUACUAUUGUUAUCAGUAUCAGGUUCUCUAUGCAUUGUAACAGUCUAUAUAUAUAUACACACACACACACACACAUAUAUAUAUAAAUAUAUAAAUAAUAAGUGGCCUCCUUUUUGGACUUAAUGAAAGCUUAUGAAUCUGGGCAGUGGUUGAACUGUUUUCUGCAUGUCAGGCAGAAUUCUAAGAAUAUUCAGCAAUAGCUUCAGUCUUGAGUAAGCCCCUCCCUUUGGAAUGUGUCUGGCACUAGUAAAUACAAUGGAAAUUGAUUCCUGUGAUUAUAUUGUGUAAUAUCAUUGAACUUAAGAUAGGAAAAUCAUCUAGGUGGGCCUGACGUAGUCGGAUUAAUGCCGAUCAGUGGGUAUAAAAUUACAGUUUUUGUGAGAUUGAUAAAUUCUAGAGAUCUGCCGUAAUGCAUUAUCUCUACAGUUCAUAAUACCUAAUCGUACACUUGAAAAUGUUCAGCGAGUAGAUCUCAUCUUCACCAUUCUUAACACAAUUAAACAAAUUAUUUUUAAAAGCGGAGAAUGUUCUCUGGCUGAUGCUAGCAGGGGAAUGGGAAAUGUAAACCUAAGAGUAGUAAUGUUAAAACACUGGUAAGUAAUGAAUUCCUCUAAAUUCCCCUGACUCAUAUUCCUCUUCACUGUAAAAUUGCAAAAUUUUUCACCAGCCAAAAUCACCUAAGUCUCAUUCAUGUAACCAAAUCAAAGACCAUCACAUAAAAAUUAAAGAGUGAGUUAAAAGCUGUGUGUGGUGUCUCAUGUGCUGCAUAUAUCCUUAAAAAUAGUUUUGAGAUCUAUAUUUAGAAAGGUGCACUGAUUUUUCACGUACUCCUCCUGGUUGUGAUUUAGGCUUGAUAAAGAUUGAUUAUAUGCAUGAUAUCUGUUUUUUCCUUCUGUGGAUCCUCAUCUUAGUUAUUUUAAGCCCUUAUUUUCCCUUUCAAAUUAAACUGAGAGUAUGCUGGGUUUAUCUUUUAUGUCCAGUCCUAUAAGUUUACUUUGUUAUUUCUAGCAAAUACUUUUUUUUGUUUUUUUGCAGGGGGUGACGAGGGGUAAAUACAUCCCUCUGCAACAAAGCCUUCUGGAAAUCCUGAAUAAGAAGUCUGUGAAACUCAUCAUGUAACAAUGAUGACAAUAAUAAUACCAAACAAGUAGCAUGGAUUUACUACACACCAGCCUUUCUUUGAGCUAAGCACUCUACAUGAAUUCUGUCUUCAUGUGUUUAAACAACACCUGGGCUUUGAGAAUUUCAAGACUUUAGCAAUGUUGAUGCUGCAGUUAGGACUCAAAUCCAAUAUUUCUGAUAAGAACACAAGGCAUGUUCUCACUACUUUUAUAAAUAAAGCUAUUUAAUUUGAAUA